GAAGCCUUCGGGUGGAAGAUUUGUGGAUUGAGCGGCGGACGGGUGAGUAACACGUGGGCAACCUACCUAUAAGACUGGGAUAACUCGUGGAAACAGGAGCUAAUACCGGAUGUAUCGUUUGAACGCAUGUUCAAACAAAUAAAGGCGGCUUUACGGCUGUCACUUAUAGAUGGGCCCGCGGCGCAUUAGCUAGUUGGUGGGGUAAUGGCUCACCAAGGCGACGAUGCGUAGCCGACCUGAGAGGGUGAUCGGCCACACUGGGACUGAGACACGGCCCAGACUCCUACGGGAGGCAGCAGUAGGGAAUCUUCCGCAAUGGACGAAAGUCUGACGGAGCAACGCCGCGUGAACGAUGAAGGUUUUCGGAUCGUAAAGUUCUGUUGUUAGGGAAGAACACGUACCGUUCAAAUAGGGCGGUACCUUGACGGUACCUAACGAGAAAGCCCCGGCUAACUACGUGCCAGCAGCCGCGGUAAUACGUAGGGGGCAAGCGUUGUCCGGAAUUAUUGGGCGUAAAGCGCGCGCAGGCGGUCUUUUAAGUCUGAUGUGAAAUCUUGCGGCUCAACCGCAAGCGGUCAUUGGAAACUGGAAGACUUGAGUGCAGAAGAGGAGAGUGGAAUUCCAUGUGUAGCGGUGAAAUGCGUAGAUAUAUGG
This 654-nucleotide ribosomal RNA is filed under the name uncultured bacterium. RNAcentral's name for it is "bacterial SSU rRNA". It matches the Rfam family "Bacterial small subunit ribosomal RNA", at positions 68 to 701 of the family's 1533-position model. The record is from RNAcentral.